This 603-nucleotide ribosomal RNA is filed under the name Weissella confusa. RNAcentral's name for it is "bacterial SSU rRNA". It matches the Rfam family "Bacterial small subunit ribosomal RNA", at positions 54 to 609 of the family's 1533-position model. Lineage: Bacteria; Bacillati; Bacillota; Bacilli; Lactobacillales; Lactobacillaceae. The record is from RNAcentral.
CAUGCUUGUCGCACGCUUUGUGGUUCAACUGAUUUGAAGAGCUUGCUCAGAUAUGACGAUGGACAUUGCAAAGAGUGGCGAACGGGUGAGUAACACGUGGGAAACCUACCUCUUAGCAGGGGAUAACAUUUGGAAACAGAUGCUAAUACCGUAUAACAAUGACAACCGCAUGGUUGUUAUUUGAAAGAUGGUUCUGCUAUCACUAAGAGAUGGUCCCGCGGUGCAUUAGCUAGUUGGUAAGGUAAUGGCUUACCAAGGCGAUGAUGCAUAGCCGAGUUGAGAGACUGAUCGGCCACAAUGGGACUGAGACACGGCCCAUACUCCUACGGGAGGCAGCAGUAGGGAAUCUUCCACAAUGGGCGAAAGCCUGAUGGAGCAACGCCGCGUGUGUGAUGAAGGGUUUCGGCUCGUAAAACACUGUUGUAAGAGAAGAAUGACAUUGAGAGUAACUGUUCAAUGUGUGACGGUAUCUUACCAGAAAGGAACGGCUAAAUACGUGCCAGCAGCCGCGGUAAUACGUAUGUUCCAAGCGUUAUCCGGAUUUAUUGGGCGUAAAGCGAGCGCAGACGGGUUAUUUAAAGUCUGAAGUGAAAGCCCUCAGCU